AGUAAAGUGGCUGAGUGAAGGCGAUAAAUUGUAAAUUUAUUUACGAAGUUAAUCUUUUUUUACUA
Molecule: transfer RNA, 65 nt
Filed under: Rhagophthalmus giganteus
Lineage: Eukaryota; Metazoa; Arthropoda; Insecta; Coleoptera; Rhagophthalmidae
Description: tRNA-Tyr
Rfam family: tRNA
About the family: Transfer RNA (tRNA) molecules are approximately 80 nucleotides in length. Their secondary structure includes four short double-helical elements and three loops (D, anti-codon, and T loops).
Source: RNAcentral